AGUGAACGCUGGCGGUAGGCCUAACACAUGCAAGUCGAACGGCAGCACAGUAAGAGCUUGCUCUUACGGGUGGCGAGUGGCGGACGGGUGAGGAAUACAUCGGAAUCUACUUUUUCGUGGGGGAUAACGUAGGGAAACUUACGCUAAUACCGCAUACGACCUACGGGUGAAAGCAGGGGAUCUUCGGACCUUGCGCGAUUGAAUGAGCCGAUGUCGGAUUAGCUAGUUGGCGGGGUAAAGGCCCACCAAGGCGACGAUCCGUAGCUGGUCUGAGAGGAUGAUCAGCCACACUGGAACUGAGACAGGGUCCAGAGGCCUACGGGAGGCAGCAGUGGGGAAUAUGGGACAAUGGGCGCAAGCCUGAUCCAGCGAUACCGCGUGGGUGAAGAAGGCCUUCGGGUUGUAAAGCCCUUUUGUGGGGAAAGAAAAGCAGCAGGUUAAUACCCCGCUGUUCUGACGGUACCCAAAGAAUAAGCACCGGCUAACUUCGUG
RNAcentral lists this ribosomal RNA (492 nucleotides) under uncultured bacterium. RNAcentral's name for it is "partial 16S ribosomal RNA". It matches the Rfam family "Bacterial small subunit ribosomal RNA", at positions 29 to 507 of the family's 1533-position model. The record is from RNAcentral.